RNAcentral lists this ribosomal RNA (484 nucleotides) under uncultured bacterium. Its description in RNAcentral is "partial 16S ribosomal RNA". It matches the Rfam family "Bacterial small subunit ribosomal RNA", at positions 29 to 523 of the family's 1533-position model. The record is from RNAcentral.
AGUGAACGCUGGCGGCGUGCUUAACACAUGCAAGUCGAACGAGAACGGAUUAUAGCUUGCUAUAAUUGUCAGCUAAGUGGCGCACGGGUGAGUAAUGUAUAGGUAAUAUGCCUCUUACUAAGGGAUAACAAAUGGAAACGUUUGCUAAUACCUUAUACUCCUUAUUAACAGAAGUUAAUAAGGGAAAGAUUUAUUGGUAAGAGAUUAGCCUGUAUUGUAUCAGUUAGGUGGUGGGGUAAUGGCUUACCAAGACUAUGACACGUAACUGGGUUGAGAGGAUGAUCAGUCACACUGGAACUGAGACACGGUCCAGACUCCUACGGGAGGCAGCAGUGGGGAAUAUUGCACAAUGGACGAAAGUCUGAUGCAGCAACGCCGCGUGGAGGAUGACACAUUUCGGUGCGUAAACUCCUUUUAUAUGAGAAGAUAAUGACGGUAUUAUAUGAAUAAGCACCGGCUAACUCCGUGCCAGCCGCCGCCGUAA